AAUAAAGGGAAUGAGGUUCUCCCUUGGCUUUGCCAAAACCGCUUAUUAAGCUAAUGACUUCUGCAUUU
This 68-nucleotide non-coding RNA is filed under the name uncultured Pseudoruminococcus sp. RNAcentral's name for it is "Fluoride riboswitch". It matches the Rfam family "Fluoride riboswitch aptamer (crcB RNA motif)". Lineage: Bacteria; Bacillati; Bacillota; Clostridia; Eubacteriales; Acutalibacteraceae. The record is from RNAcentral.